Molecule: ribosomal RNA, 253 nt
Filed under: uncultured bacterium
Lineage: Bacteria
Description: partial 16S ribosomal RNA
Rfam family: Bacterial small subunit ribosomal RNA
Source: RNAcentral
UACGUAGGGUGCGAGCGUUAAUCGGAAUUACUGGGCGUAAAGCGUGCGCAGGCGGUUUCUUAAGUCAGAUGUGAAAGCCCCGGGCUUAACCUGGGAACUGCGUUUGAAACUGGGAGACUUGAGUGUGGCAGAGGGGGGUGGAAUUCCACGUGUAGCAGUGAAAUGCGUAGAUAUGUGGAGGAACACCGAUGGCGAAGGCAGCCCCCUGGGUUAACACUGACGCUCAUGCACGAAAGCGUGGGGAGCAAACAGG